RNAcentral lists this long non-coding RNA (621 nucleotides) under Nicotiana benthamiana. RNAcentral describes it as "long non-coding RNA (NBEN_LNC041424)". The record is from RNAcentral. Lineage: Eukaryota; Viridiplantae; Streptophyta; Magnoliopsida; Solanales; Solanaceae.
GAUUUUAUGAAGCUGUGGUCCUAUUACCUCUGCAAAAGGCACAAGCUCUUGACCCUGCUGGUGAUGCUUUUAAUGAGCAAAUAGAUGAUGGAAUUCGAGAUCAUGCACUUGCUCAACGUGAGCAGUGCUAUGAGAUUAUUGCCAGUGCUUUGUAUUCUCUAAAAGGUGAAGCUUCAAAAAGGGAAUUUGGAUCUCCUAUCAGACCUGUCGCUCAAUCUACUCUAUUCUCUAAAAGGUGAAGCUUCAAAGAGGGAAUUUGGAUCUCCUAUCAGACCUGUCGCUCAAUCUACUCUUGAUCAAGCUUCUCGGAAAAAGUAUAUAUGCCAGAUUGUCCAACUUGGUGUGCAAUCUUCUGACAGAGUUUUUCAUCACUAUCUGUAUCGUACCUUAAUCGAUUUGGGCCUGGAAGAUGAACUACUGGAAUAUGGUGGCCCCGAUUUGGUGCCUUUUCUGCAAAAUUCUGGCCGUGAACCUACAAAUGAGGUUUGUUUAUGAAGAUUUCAUGAAGGCGGUAUUUUCUGUAUAUAUUUACAUACAUUGAGCAAGAGUUACUUGUACAAAAGGUCCUAUCGUGAACCAGCAAAUGAGGUUUGUUUAUGAAGAUUUCAUGAAGGCGGUAUU